Phacochoerus africanus (Common warthog) is the source of this 658-nucleotide long non-coding RNA. RefSeq lists it as uncharacterized. The record is from RefSeq and is a predicted model, not a curated record. Lineage: Eukaryota; Metazoa; Chordata; Mammalia; Artiodactyla; Suidae. The transcript has 3 exons.
CCAGGGUCAAGUCGGAAGCCUACGCUGCAGCCACCAUGGGAACACCACACACUCGCUGCCUUCUUACCACCGACCCUGCCACCCCAUGAAACACUGCACCCCUGCCUGGCACUCCCCGUCCCCUCUCCUGCCCCCACCCUUAGGUUUUGUGGUUUGGUUCAGUUUUAUUUUGCCAAAGCACUUCCCUUCUCACAUUUCCUGUACUUUAUGUAGUUUAACUGUUUGUUUUGUUUCCCACGCUAAGAUGUCAGUUGCAGGAAGCGGGGAAUCUCGGGCUGUUCUGCUCACUGAUGUCUCGGUAGCACCAGGGCCAGGGCCGGAGCCUAUGGGCCUGGGCUCACUGGUGCUCGAUCUGGAAGUUGAGGUGUCCGCUGAACCAGUCAAUGAAGAGGGAGGGCUCCACAUUGCAGGUGGCUGCCAACUGCCAGGAGCGCGAGGGACACAGGAGAACAAGCAGACACUCACUCAGGAAGAAGUAGAGGUGCUGGUGGUUGUAGGGUAAGUAUCUGCGCUUCUUCUGGCCGUACUGUGGGGACAGGUGGCCUCUGAGGAGGGCAGCUCUCUGGGCCUCCUCGUCCCAGGCAGGGUCAGGGGGUCGGCCGGGGCUGAGGAGCCAAGGCAACUCUAGGUUCUAGCAACUGGGAGGUGGGGAGGGGGU